RNAcentral lists this ribosomal RNA (617 nucleotides) under uncultured archaeon. RNAcentral describes it as "bacterial SSU rRNA". It matches the Rfam family "Archaeal small subunit ribosomal RNA", at positions 827 to 1445 of the family's 1478-position model. The record is from RNAcentral.
CCUGGGAAGUACGUACGCAAGUAUGAAACUUAAAGGAUUGGCGGGGAGCCCCCCAAGGGGUGAAGCCUGCGGUUCAAUUGGAGUCAACGCCAGAAAUCUUACCCGGAGAGACAGCAGAAUGAAGGUCAAGCUGAAGACUUUACCAGACAAGCUGAGAGGUGGUGCAUGGCCGUCGCCAGCUCGUGCCGUGAGAUGUCCUGUUAAGUCAGGUAACGAGCGAGAUCCCUGCCGCUAGUUGCUAUCAUUAUUCUCAGGAAUAGUGGAGCGAAUUAGCGGGACUGCCGUUGUUAAAACGGAGGAAGGAAGGGGCUACGGCAGGUCAGUAUGCCCCGAAACUCUGGGGCCACACGCGGGCUGCAAUGGUAGUGACAAUGAGUUCCAAACUCGAAAGAGAGUGGCAAUCUCUAAACGCUACCACAGUUAUGACUGAGGGCUGUAACUCGCCCUCACGAAUAUGGAAUCCCUAGUAACCGCGUGUCAUUACCGCGCGGUGAAUACGUCCCUGCUCCUUGCACACACCGCCCGUCGUUUCAUUGAAGUUUGCUUUUAGCGAGGUGAUGUUUAAUUGGCAUUAUCGAACUUGAGGUAAGCGACAAGGGAAAAGUCGUNNCAAGGUA